GGAUUGUGUCUCAGAGGUAGAGUGCAUGCCUAGCACGUGCGAGGCCCUGGGUUGGAUCCUCAGCACCA
RNAcentral lists this transfer RNA (68 nucleotides) under Marmota monax (woodchuck). RNAcentral's name for it is "tRNA.Ala". Lineage: Eukaryota; Metazoa; Chordata; Mammalia; Rodentia; Sciuridae. The record is from RNAcentral.